GACGGAGGGUGCAAGCGUUGUUCGGAAUUACUGGGCGUAAAGGGCGCGUAGGCGGUCUGUUAAGUUCGGUGUGAAAGCCCCCGGCUCACCUGGGGAACUGCGCCGGAAACCGACAGACUCGAGUACCGGAGAGGAGGGUGGAAUUCCUGGUGUAGCGGUGAAAUGCGUAGAUAUCAGGAGGAACACCGGUGGCGAGGGCGGCCCUCUGGACGGAUACUGACGCUGAGGCGCGAAAGCGUGGGGAUCAAACAGG
This 253-nucleotide ribosomal RNA is filed under the name uncultured bacterium. RNAcentral's name for it is "partial 16S ribosomal RNA". It matches the Rfam family "Bacterial small subunit ribosomal RNA", at positions 524 to 776 of the family's 1533-position model. The record is from RNAcentral.